AACCUAGCACACCUGCGGUGUGUACCUGCGGAAGGAUCAUUACCGAGUUUACAACUCCCAAACCCCUGUGAACAUACCAAUUGUUGCCUCGGCGGAUCAGCCCGCUCCCGGUAAAACGGGACGGCCCGCCAGAGGACCCCUAAACUCUGUUUCUAUAUGUAACUUCUGAGUAAAACCAUAAAUAAAUCAAAACUUUUAACAAUGGAUCU
This 209-nucleotide unclassified non-coding RNA is filed under the name soil metagenome. RNAcentral's name for it is "partial contains 5.8S ribosomal RNA, internal transcribed spacer 2, and large subunit ribosomal RNA". The record is from RNAcentral.